This 1292-nucleotide ribosomal RNA is filed under the name uncultured bacterium. RNAcentral's name for it is "bacterial SSU rRNA". It matches the Rfam family "Bacterial small subunit ribosomal RNA", at positions 1 to 1311 of the family's 1533-position model. The record is from RNAcentral.
UAGAGUUUGAUCAUGGCUCAGAUCGAACGCUGGCGGCAUGGCUAAAGCAUGCAAGUCGAACGGUUAAAGCCCCUUCGGGGGUGUAUAGAGUGGCGAACGGGCGAGGAAUAUGUUCCUAACGUGCCCAAAGGCUGGGGAUAGCUCGAGGAAACUCGGGGUAAUACCCAAUAAUCCCACCGGGUCGCAUGACCUGGGGGGCAAAGAUUUAUCGCCUUUGGAUCGGGGAAUAUGGUAUCAGGUUGUUGGUGGGGUAACGGCCUACCAAGCCUAAGACGCCUAGCGGGUGUGAGAGCAUGACCCGCCGCAUCGGGACUGAGACACUGCCCGGACUCCUACGGGAGGCUGCAGCGACGAAUCUUCCGCAAUGCGCGAAAGCGUGACGGAGCAAUGCCGCGUGUGGGAUGAAGCGCCUCUGGUGUGUAAACCACUGUCAGGGUUCAGGAAUUUUGACCAGACCCAAAGGAAGGGCCGGCUAACUUCGUGCCAGCAGCCGCGGUAAUACGAAGGGCCCGAGCGUUGAUCGGAUUCAUUGGGCUUAAAGGGUGCGCAGGCGGGAUCGUCAGUGUCUUGUGAAAUCCCACGGCUCAACCGUGGAACUGCAGGGCAUACUGCGAUCCUUGAGGUCGGUAGGGGCUGUCGGAACUCUAGGUGUAGCGGUGAAAUGCGUAGAUAUCUAGAGGAACGCCAAUGGUGAAGACAGGCAGCUGGGCCGAUCCUGACGCUCAUGCACGAAAGCGUGGGUAGCGAAGAGGAUUAGAUACCCUCGUAGUCCACGCCGUAAACGAUGUGCACUAGGUCCUGGGAGCUCUGACGCUUUCGGGGCCGAAGUAAAAACAAUAAGUGCACCGCCUGGGGAGUACGGUCGCAAGGCUAAAACUCAAAGGAAUUGACGGGGGCUCACACAAGCGGUGGAGCAUGUGGCUUAAUUCGAGGCAACGCGAAGAACCUUAUCCUGGGUUUGACAUGUAUGGAUUAGCUUCUAGAAACAGAAGUGACACGUUUACGUGGAACAUACACAGGUGCUGCAUGGCUGUCGUCAGCUCGUGCUGUGAAGUGUUGGGUUAAGUCCCUUAACGAGCGAAACCCCUGCUGCUAGUUACCAUCGGUUCGGCCGGGAACUCUAGCAGGACUGCCGGUGUCAAACCGGAGGAAGGUGGGGAUGACGUCAAGUCCUCAUGGCCUUUACGCCCAGGGCUGCACACGUGCUACAAUGGCAACUACAAAGCGACGCAAUACCGCGAGGUGGAGCAAAUCGCAAAAAGGUUGCCCCAGUUCGGAUUGUAGUCUGCAAC